RNAcentral lists this long non-coding RNA (4301 nucleotides) under Canis lupus familiaris (dog). RNAcentral describes it as "lncRNA (ENSCAFG00845024421.1)". The record is from RNAcentral. Lineage: Eukaryota; Metazoa; Chordata; Mammalia; Carnivora; Canidae.
UUUUUGAUAACAAUUCAUAAUUCUUUCCCUGUUUAAAUUACUGUGUAGUUUCUUUCUGCUAAGUGGACCCCAACUAAUCCAAAUUUGGUACUGGGAAUGGUCCCAAGAGAUAGACCAGAAAAGAUUGAAUUUGGGGAUUUGUUUAGUCAUGCCCUUGGGCUUGAAUGCAGUGCUGAGAUCCUUGCCAAUAGGAAGUGGGAUGCUAGUAGUUCAUGUUAAGCAAUAUCACCACAAGUAAUCAUGCUACUACCUGAAGAUGAUUGUUAAUAGAUAACAACUGGAACAACUCACUUAUGAGCCCAAGUGACUGCUGUAGUUGAAUGUUAUGAUAAUGACUAAAAGAACUAGUAUGAAAUGUAUCCGACUGACUGUCUUGAACAUUUACAGAAAGAAAAUGACAAGUUCAAAUCUUUUAUCUCUCAGCUGAAGUUAUGAUCUAAGAACCAGAGAGCUGCCUUGACAGUCAUAAAAAUAAUCUGAUAUCUUAUGGCCACAGGGCUGAUAUUCCUAGAAAGAAUAUGUAAAAUCUAAUUACAUAUAUUGCUGAAUUACAGUGUCAGUAGAAUUAAUAGUUCUACCAAGUUUCUGAGGAAAACUUAGAAAAUUGACUGGUGUCUUGGUCUAUUCAGGCUGCUACAACAAAGUGUCACAGAGUGGGUAGCUUAUAAACAACAGAAAUUUAUUUCCCACAGUUCUGGAGGCUAGAAGUCUAAGAUCAGAGUGCCAGCAUGGUUGGGUGAGGGCCAUUGAAUGCAUCACAGCCUUCUCAUAUCUUCACAUGGUGGGAGGGGGUAAGACAUUCUGCUGAUUUAUUUCAUAAAAGUGCUAAUUGCAUUUAUGAAGGCUCUAUUCUCAGGACCUAAUCACUUUUGGAGGCUUCACCUCUUGACACCAUCACAUUGGGUGUUAGGAUUCCAAUAUGUAGAUUGGGGUCUGGGGGAACACAAACAUUUAGACCAUAGCAAUUGGAAAGAAUAGGAUCUUGAAACUUGGAAUGGGAACUUUUGGUUGAACCCUGAUGUGAUUGUCACUCUGGGCUUCACUUGCUAUGAAAGUAGUUGCCCUUUUGUUUCUGAGUAGACUAGCCUUCCUUUUCUAGAAAACUUUGUGAUGCCCUCCUAUGGCACAGAUGCCUUAAAAGGGGAUGCUCAUUCUUUUUAAGACCAACCAUAGCCAUCUCUUAUUACCAUUAGACCCCAAUUAAGGGUCAAUUUUCAGCAUGCUCCAUAGAAUCAAGUAACACUAUUACCCAGGAAGAAAUAGCUUACACACCACUGAAAUGAUUGAAAGGCCUUGCUAAUAUAUAUCAGCAGAAAUCUGGGAAAUGUGGGAGUAACUCUGAAGGAAUUGGACCAAGGAAAGUGGAAUAUUACACUGGAUUUAAUGCAUUAACUCAUGGCAGCUUAACAGCUUACUUGAUUUGUUUAUGGAACUUGGACUCAACAAUAGCUUAUAUAUUUUUAUUUUUUAUUGAAGUUCAAUCUGCCAACAUAUAGUAUAACACCCAGUGCUCAUCCCGUCAAGUGCUCCCCUCAGUGCCUGUUACUCAGUCACCCCAUCCCCCUGCCCACCUCCCCUUCCCCUACCCCUUGUUCGUUACCCAGAGUUAGGGGUCUCUCAUGUUUUGUCACCCUAAUUUUUCCCACUCAUUUUCUUUCCUUUCCCCUAAAAUCCCUUUGACUAUUUUUUAUAUUCCCCAUAUGAGUGAAACUAUAUUUAAUAAGGCUGAGAUACCAGAGCUUCCCUGGCAUGAUGUAAAUAAGUGCCACCAUCAAAGACUUAAAAGAACUUGAACAUGGUACAUUUGCCAAGAUAGACAGUGUUCCAGGUCAUAAAGCAAACUCAAGAAAUAUAAAAUAAUUUAAAUAAUACAAAGUAUAUUUCUGAACACAAUGGAAUUAAACUAAGAAUAAAGAACACAAAGAAAUCUGGAAAAAACUACCAAAUAACCCAUAUUCAAGCAGAAUGUUUAAAGGGAAAUUAAAAAUAUUCUAAAUUGACUGACAAUGAAAAUAUGGGUAACAUUAGUGGAAGCAAUGAAGUAACAACUCCAAAAAUCCUCCCCUCUUUAAAAGCAAAGACAAGUGGACAAAAUUGUCAAAAUCAACUUUUUCUAGAACUCUGGAAAUUAGCCUCAUGUUUGCAGCAAUCCAUGGACCAUUUGUUUAAGAAAAAUAACUUAAGUGACUUUGUAAGCACUGUAAGCCUUGAAGUAUGUUUACUUGUCUUAUUUCCAUUUUCCUGUCUCCAGUUAAGUGAUAUCCUUGAAAACCAACAGUUUCACAGUCAUGGUGAAAAUCAGAAGCCUUGCAUCCAUGAGGAGGAGCUUGCUCAAAUCUCUAUUAUCAGAGAAUUGUCCUUAUUUGACCUACCUGACUAUUCUCUGGAAAAUUUCACACAGAGGGCUUGCUUUAUUUCACCUGAUUCAGAGCUCACCUUGGAGUGUUUGUCAUAAACAGUCAUUGGCAACUGUUGAACAUUAAGACUGCCUAGGGUGGCAGUGAUAGGGUAAACAAGAAGCUGACCAAAAACCUUUUAAAAAAAUCUAGAAAAUAAGAUAUCCACACAGAGUCUUAAAAAACUCUGACAUAGUCCCAGAAAUUUAUUAGGCAAUGCAAAUGCAUAGGGCUGUGAGCAUGUAUAGCAGAGCUGUAUGUAUGUGCAGGAUAGACCUAAUAAAGCUUUAAGCUCUCACUUAUGACUGACCUUGAGUCUAUAUAAACAGGAAGUGACAGCUAAAGCAGAGUUGUAAACUGCCUUCCUGAGAGUUGAAAGUGCCCCAAUGGGCAGUUUGGCAAAGACUAGGAGAUUUGCUGAUUCCAAGCACCUAAGAAAAUCUUUGUAAUUGUUAGCUAACCACUGAGGUAAUUGAGCAGAGCCUUCAGGGACCACACAUGAAAAAGAAUAUAUAAUUUACAGAAUGAGUUAAGGAAAGUCACUAAGUAAAUAGCAACAAUAAACAACAAUAAUAAAUAAACAGCUAUCGAUAAUAAUAAACCCUGGAGAGGGUAAGAAUCUGAUUUCCAUAGCUGUCACAUAUUAUUUAAAGUGUCUAUUUUUGACAGAAAUUUUGAGAUUCAAAGAAAUAAAGUAUGACUCAUACUGGAAGAAAGGAGCUAAUAAAAACUACUCCUGAGAAAGAUUGGACACUAGACUUACUAACAAAACAUUAAAUUAGCUAUUAUUAAAUAUGUUUAAAGAACUAAAGGAAACUAUUUCUAAAGACCUAAAGGAAGGUAAGAGAAUGAUGCUUCACCAAAUAAGGAACAUCCAUAAAGAGAUAGAAAUGAUUUAAAUGAACCAAAUAUAAAUUCAAGAGUUGAAAACGACUGAAAUGAAAAACUUACUAGAAAAGUUCAAUAGCAGAUUUGAGAUGGCAGAAGAAUUAUCUAGACAGAGGAACAGAAAGAAAACUAAGAUGAACAAAAAUAGAUCCUGAGACUUGGGAACACUAUCAAGUACACCAGCAUAUCCAUAAUGGUACCUGUAGAAGGAGAGGAAAGGGGAGAAGACGGGAAGGAAAUAGGAAAUAUACUGGAAGAAACAAUGGCUGAAAACGUCCCAAAUUUGAUGAAAAACAUUUGUUUGCACAAUAGAGAAGCUCAAGAGACUCCAAAGAGGAUAAACUAAAAAAGACCCAUACCUAAAGACAACAUAGCCAACUGUAGAAAGCCAAAGGCACAGAAUCUUAUAAGGAGCAAGAGAGAAGCAGCUCCUCAUGUGUGAGGUAUUCCUGUAAUAUUUAACAGCCUACUAAUCUUCAACAAAUCAAUAAAGAAUAUCCAAUGGAAAAGACAGUAUUUUCAACAAAUGGUGUUGAGAAAAUGGGAAGCCACAAGCAGGAGAAUGAAACUGAACCACUUUAUUACACUAUACACUGAAAUAAACUCAAAAUGGAUGAGACCUAAAUGGGAAACAGGAAUCCAUCAAAAUCCUAGAAAGCAUAGACACAGACAGCAACCUUUUUGAGCGACUUCUUGCUAGACAUGUCUUCAAAAGUAAGAGAAACAAAAGCAAAAAUGAACUACUGGGACUUCAUCAAGAUAAAAAGUUUCUGCAUAGUGAAGGAAAUUUUCAACAAAGCUAAAAGGCAACCUAUGGAAUUGGAGAAGGUAUUUGCAAAUGACAUAUAUGAUAAAGGAUUAGUAUCCAAAAUCUGUAAAGAACCUAUCAAACUUAAUACCUCCCAAAACAAAACAAAAACAGUAAAAACAAAACAAAACAGCAACAACAACAACAAAAAAACCCAGUCAAGAAAUGGGCAGAAGACAUGAACAGACAUUUCUCCAAAGAAGACAUAC